This 70-nucleotide transfer RNA is filed under the name Dipodomys ordii (Ord's kangaroo rat). It matches the Rfam family "tRNA". Rfam says of the family: Transfer RNA (tRNA) molecules are approximately 80 nucleotides in length. Their secondary structure includes four short double-helical elements and three loops (D, anti-codon, and T loops). The record is from Rfam by way of RNAcentral. Lineage: Eukaryota; Metazoa; Chordata; Mammalia; Rodentia; Heteromyidae.
GGGAAUAUAGCUUAGUGGUAGAGUGCUUGCCUAGCAUGCAUGAAGCCCUGGGUUCGAUUCCUCAGUACCA